UACGGGGGGUGCGAGCGUUGUCCGGAAUCACUGGGCGUAAAGGGCGCGUAGGCGGCCUGAUAAGUAGGGGGUGAAAUCUUGCGGCUUAACCGCAAGGCUGCCUUCUAAACUGUCAGGCUAGAGCACAGUAGAGGCAGGUGGAAUUCCCGGUGUAGCGGUGGAAUGCGUAGAGAUCGGGAAGAACAUCAGUGGCGAAGGCGGCCUGCUGGGCUGUUGCUGACGCUGAGGAGCGAAAGCGUGGGGAGCGAACAGG
RNAcentral lists this ribosomal RNA (253 nucleotides) under uncultured bacterium. RNAcentral describes it as "partial 16S ribosomal RNA". It matches the Rfam family "Bacterial small subunit ribosomal RNA", at positions 524 to 776 of the family's 1533-position model. The record is from RNAcentral.